GUCCGUGUAGAUCAGUUGGUAGAGCAAGGCGCUUGCAACGCCAGGAUUGUGGGUUUGAUUCCCACGGUGGACU
Molecule: transfer RNA, 73 nt
Filed under: Salmo salar (Atlantic salmon)
Lineage: Eukaryota; Metazoa; Chordata; Actinopteri; Salmoniformes; Salmonidae
Rfam family: tRNA
About the family: Transfer RNA (tRNA) molecules are approximately 80 nucleotides in length. Their secondary structure includes four short double-helical elements and three loops (D, anti-codon, and T loops). Further hydrogen bonds mediate the characteristic L-shaped molecular structure. tRNAs have two regions of fundamental functional importance: the anti-codon, which is responsible for specific mRNA codon recognition, and the 3' end, to which the tRNAs corresponding amino acid is attached (by aminoacyl-tRNA synthetases). tRNAs cope with the degeneracy of the genetic code in two manners: having more than one tRNA (with a specific anti-codon) for a particular amino acid; and 'wobble' base-pairing, i.e. permitting non-standard base-pairing at the 3rd anti-codon position.
Source: Rfam by way of RNAcentral